AAAAUAUUCUUUUCCUCAGUACGGAAGACAGAACAGGAACUACGGAGCAAUAGAAAAAGUACCGCAAGGGAAAGCUGAAAAAGAAAUGAAACAAACCAGUUAAGACUACAAAAGCAGAGAUAAAACCUUGUACCUUUUGCAUCAUGAUUUAGCCAGAAACUUCAAGCAAAGAGCUCUUUAGUUUGAAACCCCGAAACUGCGCGAGCUACUCCAAGCCAGCCUAAAAAUAGGGCACACCCCCCUCUGUGGCAAAAGAGUGGGAAGAGCUUUGAGUAGAGGUGACAAACCUACCGAGCUCAGUUAUAGCUGGUUGCCUGAGAAUUGAAUAUAAGUUCAGCCUCCCAACUUCUUUAUUCUUAAGCCCAGCCGCCACGGCUAGCAACCCCUAAGGACAACAAGAAGAAGAGAGAGUUAGUCAAAGGGGGUACAGCCCCUUUGAAAAAGACACAACUUUUCCAGGAGAGUAUGGAUCAAAUUUACUCAAGGAACUAUGUUAAAGUGGGCCUAAAAGCAGCCAUCUUUUUAAAAAGCGUUAAAGUUCAGACAUCCUACCCCCCCCCAUUAUCCUGAUAUUCCCCUCCAACCCCCCUAAUUAUACCAGGCCGUCCUAUAAACAUAGGAGUGACCAUGCUAAUAUGAGUAAUCAGGAAGUCAAGACCUCCUCAUCGCGCAUCUGUAAAUCGGAACGGACACACCACCGAACAUUAACGGCCCCAAUACAAAGAGGGUAUUAAACACUCUACUAAAACACUAGAAAUACCUUUAAACCCAAACCGUUUAACCUACACAGGAGCGCACUUAAAUGAAAGACUAAAAGAAAAAGAAGGAACUCGGCAAACCCCUAAGCCUCGCCUGUUUACCAAAAACAUCGCCUCUUGCUACACCCCGCAUAAGAGGUCCUGCCUGCCCAGUGACACUAAGUUAAACGGCCGCGGUAUUUUGACCGUGCAAAGGUAGCGCAAUCACUUGUCUUUUAAAUAAAGACCCGUAUGAAUGGCAAGACGAGGGCUUAACUGUCUCCUUUUUCCAGUCAAUGAAAUUGAUCUUCCCGUGCAGAAGCGGGAAUAAGUCCAUAAGACGAGAAGACCCUGUGGAGCUUUAGACAAUAGACCCGCUCAUGUCAAUCCUCUUAAAUUAAUACCGAGUAAACCAAAUGGCCUCUGUUCUAAUGUCUUCGGUUGGGGCGACCAUGGGGAAUUACAAAACCCCCACGUGGAUUAGGAGCACCAUCUCCCACCCUCCUACAAACCAGAGAAACACCUCUAGUUAACAGAAAUUCUGACCUAAAAUGACCCGGCAACGCCGAUCAACGAACCAAGUUACCCCAGGGAUAACAGCGCAAU
RNAcentral lists this ribosomal RNA (1343 nucleotides) under Zebrias zebra (zebra sole). RNAcentral describes it as "16S ribosomal RNA". It matches the Rfam family "Bacterial large subunit ribosomal RNA", at positions 439 to 2486 of the family's 2925-position model. The record is from RNAcentral. Lineage: Eukaryota; Metazoa; Chordata; Actinopteri; Pleuronectiformes; Soleidae.